This 733-nucleotide ribosomal RNA is filed under the name Micrococcus luteus. RNAcentral's name for it is "bacterial SSU rRNA". It matches the Rfam family "Bacterial small subunit ribosomal RNA", at positions 89 to 836 of the family's 1533-position model. Lineage: Bacteria; Bacillati; Actinomycetota; Actinomycetes; Micrococcales; Micrococcaceae. The record is from RNAcentral.
GGAUUAGUGGCGAACGGGUGAGUAACACGUGAGUAACCUGCCCUUAACUCUGGGAUAAGCCUGGGAAACUGGGUCUAAUACCGGAUAGGAGCGCCUACCGCAUGGUGGGUGUUGGAAAGAUUUAUCGGUUUUGGAUGGACUCGCGGCCUAUCAGCUUGUUGGUGAGGUAAUGGCUCACCAAGGCGACGACGGGUAGCCGGCCUGAGAGGGUGACCGGCCACACUGGGACUGAGACACGGCCCAGACUCCUACGGGAGGCAGCAGUGGGGAAUAUUGCACAAUGGGCGCAAGCCUGAUGCAGCGACGCCGCGUGAGGGAUGACGGCCUUCGGGUUGUAAACCUCUUUCAGUAGGGAAGAAGCGAAAGUGACGGUACCUGCAGAAGAAGCACCGGCUAACUACGUGCCAGCAGCCGCGGUAAUACGUAGGGUGCGAGCGUUAUCCGGAAUUAUUGGGCGUAAAGAGCUCGUAGGCGGUUUGUCGCGUCUGUCGUGAAAGUCCGGGGCUUAACCCCGGAUCUGCGGUGGGUACGGGCAGACUAGAGUGCAGUAGGGGAGACUGGAAUUCCUGGUGUAGCGGUGGAAUGCGCAGAUAUCAGGAGGAACACCGAUGGCGAAGGCAGGUCUCUGGGCUGUAACUGACGCUGAGGAGCGAAAGCAUGGGGAGCGAACAGGAUUAGAUACCCUGGUAGUCCAUGCCGUAAACGUUGGGCACUAGGUGUGGUACCACUCCAC